UACGAAGGGGGCUAGCGUUGUUCGGAAUUACGGGGCGUAAAGCGCACGUAGGCGGUGUUCCAUGUCAGAGGUGAAAGCCUGGGGCUCAACUCCAGAAUUGCCUUUGAAACGGGAACGCUUGAGUCCGAGAGAGGGUGGAGGAAUUCCUAGUGUAGAGGUGAAAUUCGUAGAUAUUAGGAAGAACACCAGUGGCGAAGGCGGCCACCUGGCUCGGUCCUGACGCUCAGGUUCGAAAGCGUGGGGAGCAAACAGG
RNAcentral lists this ribosomal RNA (253 nucleotides) under uncultured bacterium. Its description in RNAcentral is "partial 16S ribosomal RNA". It matches the Rfam family "Bacterial small subunit ribosomal RNA", at positions 524 to 776 of the family's 1533-position model. The record is from RNAcentral.